CGUGCGCAGGAACCCCUUCGGCAGCCUCUGGACCGCCGGUCCUCAGCCCUGGCGGCUCCACCACCAGUGAGAAGGUGUUUUGUUUUGUUUUGUUUUGUUUUGUUUUGUUUUGUUUUGUUUUGUUUUGUUUUGUUUUUUUCAAAACUCUCCUGCCCAGGCAAAACCCCAGCCCGAUUAAAUGAGAAGUAAUACAGGAUGGGACCCAGUAUUUAUUAAAACGCUCUAAAGUGCUUCCAAUUUGCAGCCAAGGAAGGAGAGCCCUGAUCUAAAACGUCCGACACAGGCAAAUAUCUUGAUUCUUUACCCCAUUUAAGCCUCCCAACUAUUUGAUAGUAGCAGCCCCACCAUAAUGAAUGAGGACCGUGAGCUCACCCAGGAUUUGUCCCAUAGCUAUUGGAGCAUCUACUGUACGAAGGAAUCUACGCUUCACAGAUGCACGGGACAUGGGCUCAGUCAGCCUGACAGGACGUCAACCAGAAUCCAUCUGAUGCUUCUCGCUACAGACACAUUUAAAUGUGUUAACUUGUUCAAAAGUUCCCACAACCAGGGUGAACUAUAAAAUUGUCCCAGUGGUCCCUUCGAGGUGCUAAGUGCAGCUGCAGAUGCUUCCAGAUCAUUGUCCACCGGAUCCCACCCUGAGAUGUACUAUUCCACUGGGGACACCGACAAGGACAUCGUGCAGGAGGUGGCAUCAGACCAGGACCUUUUAUAGGCUGAUUUUAUAUUUUAAAACGAUAGGCGCCCCUUGUUUAAUUGUGCUUCACAGACACUGUGUUUUACAAACUGAAGGUCUGGGGCAACACUGUGUUACCAGGUGACGGUUAGCACUUUUUAGCAACAAAGUACUUCUUAAUUCAGGUGUGUGGGGUUUUUUUAAGACAAUGCUACGGCAUUGCUUACUUAACAGACUACAUACAUAACAGACUACAGUGCAGUAUAAACAUCACUUUUAUAUGCACUGGAAAACCAAAAACUUCAUGCAGUGGCCUUCACUGAGAUACUGGCUUUACUGCAGUAGUCUGGAACCAGAUCCACAAUAUCUCUGAGGUCUGCCUACAGUCAGACUUCUCCCAGAUGCCUAGUAUUUUAUAGAUUGUUUUGAAGGGGGCAGAAAGCAACUUUUGUGUUUUUCUGAAAGUAACCUUGGAAGCUGAAUUAUUCUAAGUUUAGAAGCCUCCAGAUAAGGCUGCCAGUCUUGCUCACACCACACAUCCCAACAUUUAAACCCUCAGUGUCGGGACUGCCCUCCUGUUGGCUCUGAGCUCCUCCCAAUAUUGUUUAGGUCUGUUUUCCUUUUCUUUUCCAGUCCUUCUGAGAAAGAGAGAAGAGCAAGUCCUCUCCAUAUCUUAGGCAUGCCUACUGUUAGGGACUGAACUGUGUCUCCCCAAAUCCAUAUGCUGAAGCCAUAACCCCCCGUACCUCAGAAUGGGACUGUAUUUAGAGACAGGGUCUUUUAAAAGGAGACAAAGGUAAAAGGAGGCCAUUAGGGUGGGCCCUAAUCCAAUGUGACUAGUAUCCUUAUAAGAGGAAAUUUGGACAUACAUGGAGGAGAGACCGUGUGAAGACACCCUGGGAAGGCAGCCAUCUGCACGUUAAGGAGAGAGGCCUCACAAUAACCAAACCUGCCAACACAUGGAUCUUGGACCUCCAGCCUCCAGAACUGUGAGAAAAUAAACUGUUGUUUUCACCACCUUGUCUGUGAU
Molecule: long non-coding RNA, 1703 nt
Organism: Camelus dromedarius (Arabian camel)
Lineage: Eukaryota; Metazoa; Chordata; Mammalia; Artiodactyla; Camelidae
Exons: 3
Source: RefSeq, a predicted model, not a curated record